Molecule: long non-coding RNA, 1107 nt
Organism: Tripterygium wilfordii
Lineage: Eukaryota; Viridiplantae; Streptophyta; Magnoliopsida; Celastrales; Celastraceae
Exons: 3
Source: RefSeq, a predicted model, not a curated record
UCUCCUUUUGAGAAAUCAUUAACUUCUUAUAGUCGUAAAGCAAGGUUUAUUAGGCACAAAAUCUCUGCACGUAGUUUAUUACAUUUAGAUAGUCUAAUAAUAGAUGAUCAUUAUUAUUGUUUUAUCAUGUACUACAAAGUCGUUGUCUUCAAGUGUUCCAGCUUCAAACUGAGACUUUGGGUGGGUAAGAGAUGAGGAUGGAUUAUGUAUGAGAGAAGAUUCUUCUGUAUUGCAUUGUCCAAUAAUUAUGUCUGCACAUAUAUAUUUACUUAAUUUGACUUUCAAGGGGUGGGCGACUGUAUAAUGAAGCAUAAACAUACAAUAUAUACGACAUAACAUAAAUGGAUUGCGUGAGGGAGCUGUUCUUGGCCACUUAGAAAAAUUAUGUCAAGGUGAAUUUCUAGAAGUUGUGAGGUCAUGUGCCCCAUCAACUUAUUAUAGUAAGCAUCAUUAGUAGAUCUUCUUGGUAGUGGAAGUUGAAUUGUUCAAAUGGCAGACAAGAUAAUGUUCAAGGCCAAAUAUUCUUCAAAUUAAUCCUCGUUUUUGGUGGACUUGGUUUUGUCUUUUUGUUGCUUCUCUCUCUCUCUCCACUCGCAAAUGUGCAUCACCUUUCAUCUUCCCUUUGCCCAUCUUAGCUAUUCACUACAUGGCAUAUAGAAUUUGCACAAUUUUUAAUUCAAGAAGCAGUAAGACUGCGUACAUCUGAUCCUUCAAGAUCCUGCAGUGUGCAGAACCUUCCAUACGGUGUCUGAAAUGGGAGGGGAUAAAGUGAUGAAAUUGUUCUGGGCAUCUCAGUUAUAGUUUUCCACCAUGUGGGGAUAAAACUAUGCUGGUGUACCAUUAUUUCUGGACCCCAUAGUGGGGUGGGAGUCUUGUGCAUUCCAUUAGCUCAUUAAAACAAGAAAAAUAUGGUUGUCUUUUACAUAUGGCACUUGGAUAUACACUACUGCAUUUUCAUCAGGAUCACAAUCAGAUGGCAGGAGAAGACUUGAGUCUGACAGCUGUUAUGCAUUGACUAUCAAAGGAGUUUGGUCAGAGUUGGAGAAUCACAUGGACAGGAGCCACCACAUGAUUCUCACAUUAAAUAUGUUAUCUUCUUGAAUCUCU